ACCUCUCGGGGUUACAGCCUUUGCUGGAUUAUUCACCCUUUGUCUUUUUUGCGUACUUCUUGUUUCCUUUGGUGGGGUUCGCCCACCACUAGGACGAGACAUAAACCUUUUGGUAAUUGCAAUCAGCGUCAGUUAACAAAUUAAUAAUUACAACUUUCAACAACGGAUCUCUUGGUUCUGGCAUCGAUGAAGAACGCAGCGAAAUGCGAUAAGUAGUGUUGAAUGGCAGAAUUCAGUGGAAUCAUCGGAAUCUUUGUAACGCACAUUGCGCCCUUUGGGUAUUCCUAAAGGGCAUGCCUGUUCGAGCGUCAUUUGUACCCUCAAGCUUUGCUUGGUGUUGGGCGUCUUGUCUCUAGCUUUGCUGGAGACUCGCCUUAAAGUAAUUGGCAGCCGGCCUACUUGGUUUCGGAGCGCAGCACAAGUCGCACUCUCUAUCUAGCAAAGGU
Molecule: ribosomal RNA, 446 nt
Filed under: Alternaria alternata
Lineage: Eukaryota; Fungi; Ascomycota; Dothideomycetes; Pleosporales; Pleosporaceae
Description: eukaryotic LSU rRNA
Rfam family: 5.8S ribosomal RNA (bases 152-311)
Source: RNAcentral